CGUGCGAAGGUAGCGCAAUCACUUGUCUUUUAAAUGAAGACCUGUAUGAAUGGUGAAACGAGGGCUUAACUGUCUCCCUUUUCUAGUCAAUGAAAUUGAUCUGCCCGUGCAGAAGCGGACAUAAAAAUACAAGACGAGAAGACCCUUUGGAGCUUAAGAUAUAAAGAUCAUCUAUGUCAAUGGGCCCCAACACGGCAACAAACUAAAUAGCAACUGAUCUUAAUCUUCGGUUGGGGCGACCACGGGAGAAAAUAAAGCUCCCACGCGGACUGGGGUAAACCCUAAAACCAAGAAAAACAUUUCUAAGCAACAGAACUUCUGACCAUUAAGAUCCGGCUACACGCCGACCAACGGACCAAGUUACCCUAGGGAUAACAGCGCAAUCCCCUUUCAGAGUCCAUAUCGACAAGGGGGUUUACGACCUCGAUGUUGGAUCAGGACAUCCUAAUGGUGCAGCCGCUAUUAAG
This 467-nucleotide ribosomal RNA is filed under the name Glyptothorax lampris. RNAcentral's name for it is "partial 16S ribosomal RNA". It matches the Rfam family "Bacterial large subunit ribosomal RNA", at positions 1947 to 2569 of the family's 2925-position model. Lineage: Eukaryota; Metazoa; Chordata; Actinopteri; Siluriformes; Sisoridae. The record is from RNAcentral.